UAAAGUGGCGCACGGGUGAGUAACACGUGAAUUAUCUACCUCCGAGUGGGGAAUAACUGAGAGAAAUCUUAGCUAAUACCGCAUAACACUUACGAGUCAAAGCAGCAAUGCGCUUGGAGAGGAGUUCGCGGCCGAUUAGUUAGUUGGCGGGGUAAUGGCCCACCAAGACGAUGAUCGGUAUCCGGCCUGAGAGGGCGCACGGACACACUGGAACUGAAACACGGUCCAG
This 229-nucleotide ribosomal RNA is filed under the name uncultured bacterium. RNAcentral describes it as "partial 16S ribosomal RNA". It matches the Rfam family "Bacterial small subunit ribosomal RNA", at positions 91 to 334 of the family's 1533-position model. The record is from RNAcentral.